RNAcentral lists this long non-coding RNA (351 nucleotides) under Carica papaya (papaya). RNAcentral describes it as "long non-coding RNA (CPAP_LNC008296)". Lineage: Eukaryota; Viridiplantae; Streptophyta; Magnoliopsida; Brassicales; Caricaceae. The record is from RNAcentral.
UGAACUACAGACAAGCUUUCUUGAUUGAGGUCCUAGAAUUCCUCAUCUUCUUUUUUCGAACAUAAGCAGGGAAGAAGUUAUCAAAGAAAGCAUCCAUGAAAACUUCUCAGGUAGUAGGGGUAGGCAGGACUUCUUUCUUAAGUCGCCACCAGUGUUCGGCCUCACCGUUUAACAUGAAGGCUGCAAGAGGGACUUUUUGUUCUUCGGUCAGGUCUAGUAGAGAGAAGAGAUUUUAUAUUUUUAGGAUCCAGGCUACUAAAGGAUCUAGGCCACUUCAAAGUGUGGCGGAUUAAGUUUCCUAAACUCCACUAUAUUGCAAGAUGUAAACCGAUAUGUGUUUCAGAAUUCAGG